GUGAAUCAUCGAAUUUUUGAACGCAAAUUGCGCCUCUUUCUGUACGCAUGUCUGUUUGAGGGUACCAUUUAAUAAAUAAUGUGCAACGUUUUUUGUUGCACACGUGGAUGAGCUUUCCGAGAAUUUUAAUUUUUGGGUGGCGCAUAAUGAACAGCGUGAAAGUUUUUUUCAGUUCGAGUGUAGUUUAAUCUUUGCUUGGGUUGUGAAAAAACAUAUUCGCGC
This 222-nucleotide unclassified non-coding RNA is filed under the name Glomeromycetes sp. Its description in RNAcentral is "partial internal transcribed spacer 2". The record is from RNAcentral. Lineage: Eukaryota; Fungi; Glomeromycota; Glomeromycetes.